This 178-nucleotide unclassified non-coding RNA is filed under the name soil metagenome. RNAcentral's name for it is "partial internal transcribed spacer 1". The record is from RNAcentral.
UCCAUUACACCAUAUACCUGUGUGCACUGUGACAACCCCACUGCCUUGGGGGCCUAAUCGCUGUUGGCGAUAUUGACUGUCUGCUGAAGGCGGUCGGGGUCCCCGAGGUAUGGUCUUCAUUCCUCUUUUAACGAAAAAACCAAACCAGGUCUCUCUUAGAGUGACCCCAAAGUGAAUA